RNAcentral lists this long non-coding RNA (527 nucleotides) under Equus caballus (horse). RNAcentral describes it as "lncRNA (ENSECAG00000057441.1)". Lineage: Eukaryota; Metazoa; Chordata; Mammalia; Perissodactyla; Equidae. The record is from RNAcentral.
UUGGGCGAGGCUACUCAUUUCGACUCACCAGUGCUCACUACCUCAUUGGUAAACUACUGCAGUCACCUUUCUUCUGAUCUUACGAUACUACAUUUAUGAGGCCUUAAGUUAAAAUACACUGAAAUUUCCAUUAUUUCAGUAUUCGACAGCAGGCUUUCCAGAAGACUCGCUUCCUCUCAACUGUUACUCCUCCUAUAAGCACCAGCCACAAUCCUCUACAAGACCUCAUCGCUGAGGAGCAGCAGACAUCUUCCAGCUCGGAUCGGAUCCCUCACAAAGGUGUUUAAAACCAAAGUCAAGGGCAGACAGUCACUGUCCUAGAUGCGAUGGUCAUAAACCAGGUGUUUGGGUUAAUGGACCUUCUCAUAUACGCAAAACCCGGAGAGACUGUGCUCACUUUCCCAUUCCGGAUUUUUUUUUCUUUGCUCUUUAGACACAUCUGGAUCCAACCUAGGAUCUUAAUUUUUGUCCUGGAGCUACACCUCUGCUAAGCCAUCUGCCUGAUCCUGAGUCUUCUUGUCUAUUUC